GGCGGGAUAGCUCAGCUGGUAGAGCACGGGGGUCAUAAUCCCGUUGUCGGGGGUUCGAAACCCUCUCCCGCUA
RNAcentral lists this transfer RNA (73 nucleotides) under Rickettsiales bacterium. Its description in RNAcentral is "tRNA-Met". It matches the Rfam family "tRNA". Rfam says of the family: Transfer RNA (tRNA) molecules are approximately 80 nucleotides in length. Their secondary structure includes four short double-helical elements and three loops (D, anti-codon, and T loops). Lineage: Bacteria; Pseudomonadati; Pseudomonadota; Alphaproteobacteria; Rickettsiales. The record is from RNAcentral.